UCAUACACGUAUGUGUGAGUGUGUUGACAUGGCCUCACGUUGCGCGGCUUUAUGCCGCGUACGAUAUAAUUAACCUUCGCACGCCAAAUGCCGGGUCAUUUUGACCCCUUGUACUGGAUCAUACUGGUACAAUUCGCUAUAAUUACUUCUAUCUUUGGGGGGAUUAAUCAACAAACAUUAUAUUGGCAUAUUUCCUAGAACAUUGUCUCCAGAUUUCUUAGAACAUAGACGCAUUUAAUUCCAAGCUUUACAAGUUUGAUGAGCUUUACUACACAUCGUUAUCUACGUUGAUUGUGCAUAACCCACGAUUAUCCUUGAAUGGGUAUAUUUACAAUUAGCGAUAAUUGUUGGUUAACUUCUUUCGAUUGCCGCGACAAUGGUUUAUCAGAAAAGAAGUUCAUUGAAUAAACAAAAUUUGUAUGUACUUUAUAAUAGUUUUAUUCAUAUAAAAUAGUUAUUAUUUUGUUAUAUUUUAAUCGAUUAAGCUAAUUAGGUGAUUGAGGAACUAUAGAAAUAUUUGUUUGCAAUGAACUGUACAUACAUGCUUGCACUAUCGAAACUUGAAAUACGCGGCGCGGACAAGAUUGAAGUUGGAUACGUAAUAUACCGUACGGUGUUCUGCGCAUGCGUGCUUCCAAUUUUACCACUACUGCUACCUGUCGAUUCUAACCUCAAACGUCAACGUGCAACGUUGAUUUUUAACCUCACGAAGGUUUACAUUUAAGAUUAAUAGUUUAUUCAAGUAUAUAUGUGAACAUUUGUGUAGUGUAUUUUAACGGAAAUGUUAAGGUAAAAUUGUGAUUCUUUCUAAAUACGGUAUACCAGAUGUGAGAAUAGAAAAUGUAUGCAGAAAAGGAAAGAUUUCUUUGAAACUCCAAGAUUGUCCGUUUGCAUGAUGAAUUUGUCUACCUACAAGUAUUUGAACAUAUUGCUGAAAGAGUAAAUAAGUGAAGAAAGACUUAGAGACGUUAACGGAGGCGAUAAAGAAAACUAGAAUUGAUGGAAGGGGCUCAAGGCUACGCUGAUUUCUAUUUCCUGCAGUUCUCUUUUGGACGAGAACAAAAAAAAGUACAUUUCUGCGCAUAACACUCAAUUAUCUAAUAAUGUACCUUGCUUAAAAUUAUUGAAUAAAUCAUAGAUUUUGUAAGAAUGUUGUUCAAAUAACAAAUGUUAUGAUUCAGUAAUUUGAAAAUUUGAAUAUCCUGCCAAAUAUUAACACAGUUGUUAUAACUUUACAUAAUUAUGUUUUUAUCAGUGUUUCGAAGUUCCAAAGUGAUUUUAUACGUUCUAAUGAACAGUUUGACUCUCACCCUUAGAAACGUGCCAAAUUUAUCAUCAUCGAAUGCGUAUUUUGUUCUAUACAUAACGUUCUAUCGCAUGCGCAUCAUUCAUAAAAGGGAAAAACAGUAGGUGAUACAUGGUAGGGAGAUUUUAGAAGUGGGAGGAGGGGGUCAGUGACCGUUACAUCAUCGAGAACUCAUAGUCUAGGGAAAUUCAUAAAGCGGCCAAACAAUUAUGUUUACGGAUUCAAAUGCAAGAAAAUCGAUUGUUUGAUAAUUUGUCGGUAAGAUCCCACAGCAUACGGUCGGUGCUAUUAAUAAGUAUGCCGGUGUUCGUAUUCACCGCACAGAGUCCAUUUUCUGUUAAUCCUUCGAUUCAGUACCGUCUUAAUAAUAUUUCUUAGGAAAAGUUAAUUGAAAAUCACUAACAUUGUUAAAAAGGAAUCUGAAUGUGUAUAAACUCUAAAAUAUUAUAGAUUAUAGGUUUCUAACCUCAAUCUUUUUUUACCUUAUUUAAAUAUCUUUAAUGCCAGCAGUGAUGUUAAACAUUUUGAAUAAAGUAUCGAAAGAACAGUACUAUCAGCACCAAAUGAUUUAUUUGUACCUUUUGGAUAUAGUCCAAAGUAUGUUUCCAAGUAAAUCUAAAAUGUUCUUGUAUUCGGAAUUGUACGCUAGAGCUUCCUACAUUAACCAUAAGAUCUGUUUUUUAUAUUAACCUUAAUUCGUGUACGAUAUCUUAUAUGUAAUAAAAAAAAACAUUAAUUUACAAAAGAAUGUAGUUUGGUAAUUUGGACGUGUACAUACAAUAUGAAUUAGCAUAAUUGCCUGUAAUUUAGAAAUAUGUAUUCUUUGUUCUUCAGAAGUAAUACAUAAAAUUAAAUGAGCUGAGUUAAAAAAUGAAAUACUAGCCAACACCGAUUAAUCCUUCGGUAUAAUUCGCCAGCAAAUAAUGCCAGAAACGCUCGGUAAAUCUCCUUGUAUUUUAGCAAUCUGGCAACGCCGCGUUAGCAACGUCGCCUUACGAAAGCAGACAGGCACAUUCACCCUUUGUGAUGUUCAACGCAUGCGCAAUCAUUCUACACAGAAUAGGUACCGAUGCACCGGCACGCGGAACCAUGAUCUGUGGAAUACUGCGACACCGCAUAUCGUUAUAGCCUACGACGCAUGCGUGCCGUAUUUUGCCACAUGUGACAAACUACCGCCGAAAGGUCGUGUAUCUACUAUUCAGCCAUACAUAUGUAUACGUAUAUACAAUAACUAAAUGGUAGAUUUCACGCGAAGCAUAUUUUUGCUGCAUGUCACGAUUGGUUAGUUGAACCAUCAUCAAAUUUACUUUUUUAUUCAAAUCAAAAUUUUUACAUAGAAGUUUUUCAAAACGAUUCUCCGUACAUUUCUUGGUUAGGUUCAGUAGUAUUCAAUAUAUCUAUACUAAUUUAUUUAUAAGAUUCAUUACUAUUUAUAUUUGAAUGUUUAUACGCAAUGGACCAAAUUAUGAAUACAUAAAUAAAUUUCAAUGAAAAUUACGGUUGCGUGGACUUAUAUUAAAAGCACAAAUGCUAUUUGUAGUUACAUUUGUAUUUAAGUUUCAUUAAAAAUACCAAGAUCCAAGAACCAAAAAUAUCAAGAAACCUAGUUGGAGCGAAUUUUACAAUUUCAUACAAGUGUAUGAUUCUUUCGUAUAUUCGCGUUAAUUUACGUUCAAGUAAAUUCGAGUCGUUAACACAUUUCAGACGCGUUGUGUGCACAAUGCACUUGCACUUCUCAUGUAUUCUUCUCGGAAAAUUUGUUUCUCAGCAAUCUUCGCACUCACGAUUUACAUUCCCCCUCCCAAAAAAAAAAAAAGAAAAAAAA
Non-coding RNA from Osmia lignaria (orchard mason bee), 3131 nucleotides. The record is from RefSeq and is a predicted model, not a curated record. NCBI's taxonomy places the organism in Eukaryota, Metazoa, Arthropoda, Insecta, Hymenoptera, Megachilidae.